This 600-nucleotide ribosomal RNA is filed under the name uncultured bacterium. Its description in RNAcentral is "bacterial SSU rRNA". It matches the Rfam family "Bacterial small subunit ribosomal RNA", at positions 737 to 1341 of the family's 1533-position model. The record is from RNAcentral.
CGAUUGACGCUGAGGCUCGAAAGUGCGGGAAUCAAACAGGAUUAGAUACCCUGGUAGUCCGCACCGUAAACGAUGAAUGCUCGUUCUGGGCGACACACUGUCCGGGACCAAGGGAAACCAUUAAGCAUUCCACCUGGGGAGUACGCCGGCAACGGUGAAACUCAAAGGAAUUGACGGGGGCCCGCACAAGCGGAGGAACAUGUGGUUUAAUUCGAUGAUACGCGAGGAACCUUACCUGGACUCAAAUGUUGACUGACCGAUCCAGAAAUGGAUUUCUCCUUCGGGACAGUUAGCAAGGUGCUGCAUGGUUGUCGUCAGCUCGUGCCGUGAGGUGUCAGGUUAAGUCCUAUAACGAGCGCAACCCCUACGUCCAGUUGCCAGCGGGUAAAGCCGGGGGCUCUGGAGGGACUGCCGGCGCAAGCCGAGAGGAAGGUGGGGAUGACGUCAAAUCAGCACGGCCCUUACGUCCAGGGCGACACACGUGCUACAAUGGCCGGUACAGAGGGCAGCCACCUGGUGACAGGGAGCGAAUCUCGAAAGCCGGUCUCAGUUCGGAUCGGAGUCUGCAACUCGACUCCGUGAAGUUGGAUUCGCUAGUAA